GUCGAGAAUCUUUCACAAUGGGGGCAACCCUGAUGGAGCGACGCCGCGUGGAGGAUAAGGUCUUCGGAUUGUAAACUCCUGUCAUGCGUGAACAAGGUUGCUUGGUUAAUACCUGGGCAAAUUGAUGGUAACGCAAGAGGAAGAGACGGCUAACUCUGUGCCAGCAGCCGCGGUAAUACAGAGGUCUCAAGCGUUGUUCGGAAUCACUGGGCGUAAAGGGUGCGUAGGUGGCGUGGUAAGUCAGAUGUGAAAGCCCGGGGCUCCACCUCGGAACUGCAUCCGAUACUGCCAUGCUAGAGUACUGGAGAGGUGACUAGAAUUCUCGGUGUAGCAGUGAAAUGCGUAGAUAUCGAGAGGAAUACCAAAGGCGUAGGCAGGUCACUGGACAGUUACUGACACUGAGGCACGAAGGCCAGGGGAGCGAACGGGAUUAGAAACCCCAGUAGUCC
This 449-nucleotide ribosomal RNA is filed under the name uncultured bacterium. RNAcentral's name for it is "partial 16S ribosomal RNA". It matches the Rfam family "Bacterial small subunit ribosomal RNA", at positions 354 to 796 of the family's 1533-position model. The record is from RNAcentral.